This 306-nucleotide ribosomal RNA is filed under the name uncultured bacterium. Its description in RNAcentral is "bacterial SSU rRNA". It matches the Rfam family "Bacterial small subunit ribosomal RNA", at positions 8 to 290 of the family's 1533-position model. The record is from RNAcentral.
AGAGUUUGAUCCUGGCUCAGGACGAACGCUGGCGGCGUGCCUAACACAUGCAAGUCGAACGGAGAUAAGCGCUGAUGAUUUAGCUUGCUAGAGAUUCUUGCUUAUCUUAGUGGCGGACGGGUGAGUAACGCGUGAGUAACCUGCCUCAAAGAGGGGGAUAACGUCUGGAAACGGACGCUAAUACCGCAUAAUAUAUUGUUGUGGCAUCACGGCGAUAUCAAAGGAGGAAUCCGCUUUGAGAUGGACUCGCGUCCAAUUAGCUAGUUGGUGAGGUAACGGCCCACCAAGGCGACGAUUGGUAGCCGG